GACGAACGCUGGCGGCGUGCUUAACACAUGCAAGUCGAACGAUGAAGCUAGAGCUUGCUCUGGUGGAUUAGUGGCGAACGGGUGAGUAACACGUGAGUAACCUGCCCCGAACUCUGGGAUAACUGCUGGAAACGGUAGCUAAUACCGGAUAUGACCAAUGAAGGCAUCUUCUGUUGGUGGAAAGAAUUUCGGUUCGGGAUGGACUCGCGGCCUAUCAGCUUGUUGGUGAGGUAACGGCUGACCAAGGCGACGACGGGUAGCCGGCCUGAGAGGGUGAUCGGCCACACUGGGACUGAGACACGGCCCAGACUCCGACGGGAGGCAGCAGUGGGGAAUAUUGCACAAUGGGCGCAAGCCUGAUGCAGCAACGCCGCGUGAGGGACGACGGCCUUCGGGUUGUAAACCUCUUUUAGUAGGGAAGAAGCGAAAGUGACGGUACCUGCAGAAAAAGCACCGGCUAACUACGUGCCAGCCGCCGCCGUAA
Molecule: ribosomal RNA, 484 nt
Filed under: uncultured bacterium
Lineage: Bacteria
Description: partial 16S ribosomal RNA
Rfam family: Bacterial small subunit ribosomal RNA
Source: RNAcentral